AGUGAACGCUGGCGGCGUGCUUAAUACAUGCAAGUCGAACGAGAACGGAUUAUAGCUUGCUAUAAUUGUCAGCUAAGUGGCGCACGGGUGAGUAAUGUAUAGGUAAUAUGCCUCUUACUAAGGGAUAACAAAUGGAAACGUUUGCUAAUACCUUAUACUCCUUAUUAACAGAAGUUAGUAAGGGAAAGAUUUAUUGGUAAGAGAUUAGCCUGUAUUGUAUCAGUUAGUUGGUGGGGUAAUGGCCUACCAAGACUAUGACACAUAACUGGUUUGAGAGGAUGAUCAGUCACACUGGAACUGAGACACGGUCCAGACUCCUACGGGAGGCAGCAGUGGGGAAUAUUGCACAAUGGACGAAAGUCUGAUGCAGCAACGCCGCGUGGAGGAUGACACAUUUCGGUGCGUAAACUCCUUUUAUAUGAGAAGAUAAUGACGGUAUUAUAUGAAUAAGCACCGGCUAACUCCGUGCCAGCAGCCGCCGUAA
Molecule: ribosomal RNA, 484 nt
Filed under: uncultured bacterium
Lineage: Bacteria
Description: partial 16S ribosomal RNA
Rfam family: Bacterial small subunit ribosomal RNA
Source: RNAcentral